UCAAGUGAAGAAGCGCAUACGGUGGAUGCCUUGGCAGUCAGAGGCGAUGAAAGACGUGGUAGCCUGCGAAAAGCUUCGGGGAGUCGGCAAACAGACUUUGAUCCGGAGAUGUCUGAAUGGGGGAACCCAGCCAUCAUAAGAUGGUUAUCUUACGCUGAAUACAUAGGCGUAAGAGGCGAACCAGGGGAACUGAAACAUCUAAGUACCCUGAGGAAAAGAAAUCAACCGAGAUUCCCUUAGUAGUGGCGAGCGAACGGGGACUAGCCCUUAAGUGGCUUUGAGAUUAGCGGAACGCUCUGGAAAGUGCGGCCAUAGUGGGUGAUAGCCCUGUACGCGAAAAUCUCUUAGUCAUGAAAUCGAGUAGGACGGAGCACGAGAAACUUUGUCUGAAUAUGGGGGGACCAUCCUCCAAGGCUAAAUACUACUGACUGACCGAUAGUGAACUAGUACCGUGAGGGAAAGGCGAAAAGAACCCCGGAGAGGGGAGUGAAAUAGAUCCUGAAACCGUAUGCGUACAAGCAGUGGGAGCCUACUUUGUUAGGUGACUGCGUACCUUUUGUAUAAUGGGUCAGCGACUUAUUUUCAGUGGCGAGCUUAACCGAAUAGGGGAGGCGUAGCGAAAGCGAGUCUUAAUAGGGCGUCUAGUCGCUGGGAAUAGACCCGAAACCGGGCGAUCUAUCCAUGGGCAGGUUGAAGGUUGGGUAACACUAACUGGAGGACCGAACCGACUACCGUUGAAAAGUUAGCGGAUGACCUGUGGAUCGGAGUGAAAGGCUAAUCAAGCUCGGAGAUAGCUGGUUCUCCUCGAAAGCUAUUUAGGUAGCGCCUCAUGUAUCACUGUAGGGGGUAGAGCACUGUUUCGGCUAGGGGGUCAUCCCGACUUACCAAACCGAUGCAAACUCCGAAUACCUACAAGUGCCGAGCAUGGGAGACACACGGCGGGUGCUAACGUCCGUCGUGAAAAGGGAAACAACCCAGACCGUCAGCUAAGGUCCCAAAGUUAUGGUUAAGUGGGAAACGAUGUGGGAAGGCUUAGACAGCUAGGAGGUUGGCUUAGAAGCAGCCACCCUUUAAAGAAAGCGUAAUAGCUCACUAGUCGAGUCGGCCUGCGCGGAAGAUGUAACGGGGCUCAAACCAUACACCGAAGCUACGGGUAUCACGUAAGUGAUGCGGUAGAGGAGCGUUCUGUAAGCCUGUGAAGGUGAGUUGAGAAGCUUGCUGGAGGUAUCAGAAGUGCGAAUGCUGACAUGAGUAACGACAAUGGGUGUGAAAAACACCCACGCCGAAAGACCAAGGUUUCCUGCGCAACGUUAAUCGACGCAGGGUUAGUCGGUCCCUAAGGCGAGGCUGAAAAGCGUAGUCGAUGGAAAACAGGUUAAUAUUCCUGUACUUCUGGUUAUUGCGAUGGAGGGACGGAGAAGGCUAGGCCAGCUUGGCGUUGGUUGUCCAAGUUUAAGGUGGUAGGCUGAGAUCUUAGGUAAAUCCGGGAUCUUAAGGCCGAGAGCUGAUGACGAGUGUUCUUUUAGAACACGAAGUGGUUGAUGCCAUGCUUCCAAGAAAAGCUUCUAAGCUUCAGGUAACCAGGAACCGUACCCCAAACCGACACAGGUGGUUGGGUAGAGAAUACCAAGGCGCUUGAGAGAACUCGGGUGAAGGAACUAGGCAAAAUGGCACCGUAACUUCGGGAGAAGGUGCGCCGGUGAGGGUGAAGGACUUGCUCCGUAAGCUCAUGCCGGUCGAAGAUACCAGGCCGCUGCGACUGUUUAUUAAAAACACAGCACUCUGCAAACACGAAAGUGGACGUAUAGGGUGUGACGCCUGCCCGGUGCCGGAAGGUUAAUUGAUGGGGUUAGCUAACGCGAAGCUCUUGAUCGAAGCCCCGGUAAACGGCGGCCGUAACUAUAACGGUCCUAAGGUAGCGAAAUUCCUUGUCGGGUAAGUUCCGACCUGCACGAAUGGCGUAACGAUGGCGGCGCUGUCUCCACCCGAGACUCAGUGAAAUUGAAAUCGCUGUGAAGAUGCAGUGUAUCCGCGGCUAGACGGAAAGACCCCGUGAACCUUUACUAUAGCUUUGCACUGGACUUUGAAUUUGCUUGUGUAGGAUAGGUGGGAGGCUUUGAAGCGUGGACGCCAGUCUGCGUGGAGCCAACCUUGAAAUACCACCCUGGCAACUUUGAGGUUCUAACUCAGGUCCGUUAUCCGGAUCGAGGACAGUGUAUGGUGGGUAGUUUGACUGGGGCGGUCUCCUCCUAAAGAGUAACGGAGGAGUACGAAGGUGCGCUCAGACCGGUCGGAAAUCGGUCGUAGAGUAUAAAGGCAAAAGCGCGCUUGACUGCGAGACAGACACGUCGAGCAGGUACGAAAGUAGGUCUUAGUGAUCCGGUGGUUCUGUAUGGAAGGGCCAUCGCUCAACGGAUAAAAGGUACUCCGGGGAUAACAGGCUGAUACCGCCCAAGAGUUCAUAUCGACGGCGGUGUUUGGCACCUCGAUGUCGGCUCAUCACAUCCUGGGGCUGAAGCCGGUCCCAAGGGUAUGGCUGUUCGCCAUUUAAAGUGGUACGCGAGCUGGGUUUAGAACGUCGUGAGACAGUUCGGUCCCUAUCUGCCGUGGACGUUUGAGAUUUGAGAGGGGCUGCUCCUAGUACGAGAGGACCGGAGUGGACGAACCUCUGGUGUUCCGGUUGUCACGCCAGUGGCAUUGCCGGGUAGCUAUGUUCGGAAUAGAUAACCGCUGAAAGCAUCUAAGCGGGAAACUAGCCUCAAGAUGAGAUCUCACUGGAACCUUGAGUUCCCUGAAGGGCCGUCGAAGACUACGACGUUGAUAGGUUGGGUGUGUAAGCGCUGUGAGGCGUUGAGCUAACCAAUACUAAUUGCCCGUGAGGCUUGACCAU
RNAcentral lists this ribosomal RNA (2890 nucleotides) under Pseudomonas poae. RNAcentral describes it as "bacterial LSU rRNA". It matches the Rfam family "Bacterial large subunit ribosomal RNA". The record is from RNAcentral. Lineage: Bacteria; Pseudomonadati; Pseudomonadota; Gammaproteobacteria; Pseudomonadales; Pseudomonadaceae.